Long non-coding RNA from Macadamia integrifolia, 1340 nucleotides. RefSeq lists it as uncharacterized. Lineage: Eukaryota; Viridiplantae; Streptophyta; Magnoliopsida; Proteales; Proteaceae. The record is from RefSeq and is a predicted model, not a curated record. The transcript has 2 exons.
CCCUCACUAACCUGUCUGCAUGGUGGUGGCGUAGGCGUGACAAUAUUCAAUUAGCUCAACUUGGGACCACACCCUCUUCCUCUCCUCUCCUCUCCUCUCCUCUCCCUCACCCUUUUUAUUAACCCUUAAUGACCAAUACAAUACAAGUAGAUGAUAAGUCCUUACCCUACCAUUUCCUUCCUUCCUCACUAACUCCCUAUUUAAACCCUUCUCCUCAUCCCCCUCUUCCCUAUCCGAGUUGAACUGUGGGCUAUGACCACCCCUUCUAGUGGAGAAGGAGAAGGAGAAGGAGAAGGAAAAGAAGAUUAGAUAACUGUUGAUAGCCAAAGCCAAAGAUUGGGGGGAUGCUUCUGCUAUUUACAAAGUCCGUGCAUCAUCAUCAGUUGAAGCUGCCAGCAUGAUCUAAACUCUCCCUUGAGGGAAAGAUCAGAUCAUGUGGCAGUUUCAUCUGUUGAUGGGGGCACGAUAGAUCAGAUCAUGUAGUAGUUUCACCUGUUGAUGAAGUUGAUGGGAGAUAUUGUUGGGGUAUUAAGUGACAGAAUUUCUUCAUCUCAACGCGGGUUGGUGCUUUUGAGAUCCCUCUUCCUCUAAUCUAAGCCCUAUAUGUGAACUCUCUCAGCCUCGGGAAGUGAGUUCUUUGUUAUUCGUUCCAGUAUUGUCUCCCUCCUUGAUUUCUAUAAUAUUCUAAUCUAUAAUCUUUAUUAGGGUAUGCCGUAUGCUUGACUUUUCUCAUAUAUGCUUUGGACUAAUAAAAUUUCUUUGUUUAACAUUUCAUGGAAGUGAAGAUUGCAGCAAACAGGAUUGGGUUUCAAUCUUUGUGUCCUUUCAUGGACUGAGACCUCUUUUCUUCUUCUUUUUCUUCAUGGGUUUUCUUCUCCUUCUCUUUUUUUUUUUGGGUUAUCUUAAUUCCUAUUUGGAUCUUGGAACUAACUACAUCAAAUUUGUUUGCAAAAGCCAAUUAAUCUCCCCCUUAAUCAAAUCAGUCUACUUCAAGAAGGUGGGAUUGUAUAUGGUUUCAUCUUUUCAUGUGGUUGCCAAUCUGCUCCUUAAAUCAAAUUGGGACUUGUUUUGAAUUCAAGAUUGAAUUUCUUCAGUGGCCCUACCAGAGCUUCCAUGGAACUACAAAGUAACACCUAUUGGAAGUGCAGCAAAUCUGGGCAUCUUAUAAAAUGAAAACCAGAAAAUGAUUGUACUGUUUUAAAUAUGAAUAUGGCUUGAGAAAUUCUAGGAUUCAGGUCUGCUGUAAGAAAUAUAUUUUCUUUGUAUAAAUUGGUUCAGAAAAGUGUAUCUUUUCUUCCUUUGGUCUGGGCAAACAAAAUGAUCAGAGAUGAAGCUCUAAA